This 930-nucleotide long non-coding RNA is filed under the name Homo sapiens (human). RNAcentral's name for it is "non-protein coding lnc-KCMF1-1:1". The record is from RNAcentral. Lineage: Eukaryota; Metazoa; Chordata; Mammalia; Primates; Hominidae.
GAACAGUGGGGCCUUCAGCAUCAUUAUUGCUCAGAUCUCUUUAAUGUUUGGCUUAAAUGAAGACAGCUGGAUUCUCUUCUUCUGCAUUCAAUCUGUUAGGAUGUGCUGUUUGCUGAAAGCAUGAAAAUCCUAGCACCUCACCUCACCUCUUGGGGACCUUGGACCGCACUUUGAGAACCAUUAGUUUUUCUUUCAGCUCUACAUCAUUCACAGCCGGGCCUGGUGGCUCAUGGCUGUAAUCCCAGGACUUUGGGAGGCUGAGGUGGGUGGAUCACCUGAGGCCAGCAGUUUGAGACCAGCCUGGGCAACAUGGUGAAACCCCGUCUCUACUAAAUAUACAAAAAUUAGCCAGGCGUCAUGGCACCCUCCUGUAGUCCCAGCUACUCAGGAGGCUGAGGCAGGAGAAUCACUUGAACCCGGGAGGCAGAGGUUGCAGUGAGCCGAGAUCGCACCACUGCACUCCUGCCUGUGCGACAGAGAGAGGCUCUGUCUCAAAAAAUAAAUAAAUAAAUAAAUAAAUAAAUAAUUUGUUCAUUCACUCACUCAUUCAACACUACUGGAUCCCAGAGACAAAGAACAAUGUGGUCGCUGCCUUUGAGGAGUCUAGUUGAGAAAAAAGAUGAAAACGAAUUAAAAAUUACAGCACGACAUGAGUGAGCAGAGGAGGAAGUUAGGAAAUUACUGGUUUGCCUAAGGGAGGCAGGGAAGGCUUACAGGAGUACAGGGAACCCGAAUUUUGACUUUACUUUCCUAUGCUCCACCUAAGCAGAAGGAAGAGUAUGCACAAAGGCACAGGGGCAGGAAUUAAUACAGUACAAGGAAGCCCAGGGUGCGCUGGCAGGAAGAGUCCGUAUGCUGGAAAAGCACGUUGGGCCUUAAAGUUACAUUUCAUCCUACAAGCCCCAGGAGGCUGGGGUGAUGAGAGCUUGC